RNAcentral lists this ribosomal RNA (282 nucleotides) under Deltaproteobacteria bacterium. RNAcentral describes it as "partial 16S ribosomal RNA". It matches the Rfam family "Bacterial small subunit ribosomal RNA", at positions 1 to 265 of the family's 1533-position model. The record is from RNAcentral. Lineage: Bacteria; Pseudomonadati; Myxococcota; Myxococcia.
AAACUGGAGAGUUUGAUUCUGGCUCAGAACGAACGCUGGCGGAGUGCUUAAGACAUGCAAGUCGUACGAGAAAGCCGACUUCGGUUGGUGAGUAAAGUGGCGCACGGGUGAGUAACGCGUGGGUAAUCUGCCUUCGAGUCUGGGACAACUCCGGGAAACUGGAGCUAAUACCGGAUGAGACCACAGGGCCUUCGGGUCCAGUGGGAAAAGAUGGCCUCUUCUUGAAAGCUAUCGCUCGGAGAUGAGCCCGCGUCGCAUUAGUUUGUUGGUGGGGUAACGGCU